GUAAAUGUAUAUAGGCACAAAGGCCCAUUGAUUACAUUCUAAGACAUACAUUGGGUAUAUGAAGAAACAUAGGCCUGGAAAUGUAAAGAGAGACAUCAAGUCAAUCCUCAAACCUGAGUGGCUAGCACUCAGAGAGAUAUCCAGGUCUACAAAAGAUGCACAGGUGGAGAUAUAAAGAUGACAAGUGUGCACAUGCCCCCUAGGGAACCAGCACCAACUCAUCAGGUUUAUUUCAAUAAUGAUCCUUCCGCAGGUUCACCUACGGAAA
This 268-nucleotide unclassified non-coding RNA is filed under the name uncultured fungus. RNAcentral describes it as "sequence contains ITS1". Lineage: Eukaryota; Fungi. The record is from RNAcentral.